AUUGAACGCUGGCGGCAGGCCUAACACAUGCAAGUCGAACGGUAGCAGAAAGCAGCUUGCUGCUUUGCUGACGAGUGGCGGACGGGUGAGUAAUGUCUGGGAAACUGCCUGAUGGAGGGGGAUAACUACUGGAAACGGUAGCUAAUACCGCAUAACGUCGCAAGACCAAAGAGGGGGACCUUCGGGCCUCUUGCCAUCGGAUGUGCCCAGAUGGGAUUAGCUAGUAGGUGGGGUAAAGGCUCACCUAGGCGACGAUCCCUAGCUGGUCUGAGAGGAUGACCAGCCACACUGGAACUGAGACACGGUCCAGACUCCUACGGGAGGCAGCAGUGGGGAAUAUUGCACAAUGGGCGCAAGCCUGAUGCAGCCAUGCCGCGUGUAUGAAGAAGGCCUUCGGGUUGUAAAGUACUUUCAGCGGGGAGGAAGGGAGUAAAGUUAAUACCUUUGCUCAUUGACGUUACCCGCAGAAGAAGCACCGGCUAACUCCGUG
Molecule: ribosomal RNA, 490 nt
Filed under: uncultured bacterium
Lineage: Bacteria
Description: partial 16S ribosomal RNA
Rfam family: Bacterial small subunit ribosomal RNA
Source: RNAcentral